UCGAGGAUCUUCGGCAAUGGGCGAAAGCCUGACCGAGCGACGCCGCGUGUGCGAUGAAGGCCUUCGGGUUGUAAAGCACUGUCGUGGGGGAGAAAGACCGCAAGGUUUGAUCGACCCCAGGAGGAAGCACGGGCUAAGUUCGUGCCAGCAGCCGCGGUAAGACGAACCGUGCGAACGUUAUUCGGAAUCACUGGGCUUAAAGGGCGCGUAGGCGGGCGGCCAAGUCAGAGGUGAAAGCCUCCAGCUCAACUGGAGAAGUGCCUUUGAUACUGGUCGUCUCGAGGGAGAUAGGGGCGUGCGGAACUUCCGGUGGAGCGGUGAAAUGCGUAGAUAUCGGAAGGAACACCGGUGGCGAAAGCGGCGCGCUGGAUCUCUUCUGACGCUGAGGCGCGAAAGCCAGGGGAGCGAACGGGAUUAGAUACCCCUGUAGUCC
RNAcentral lists this ribosomal RNA (433 nucleotides) under uncultured bacterium. RNAcentral describes it as "bacterial SSU rRNA". It matches the Rfam family "Bacterial small subunit ribosomal RNA", at positions 355 to 796 of the family's 1533-position model. The record is from RNAcentral.